RNAcentral lists this ribosomal RNA (480 nucleotides) under uncultured bacterium. RNAcentral's name for it is "bacterial SSU rRNA". It matches the Rfam family "Bacterial small subunit ribosomal RNA", at positions 965 to 1448 of the family's 1533-position model. The record is from RNAcentral.
AAAACCUUACCUACCCUUGACAUGUCACUAANGAAGNAGAGAUACAUUAGGUGCCCGUAAGGGAAAGUGAACACAGGUGCUGCAUGGCUGUCGUCAGCUCGUGUCGUGAGAUGUUGGGUUAAGUCCCGCAACGAGCGCAACCCUUGUCUUUAGUUGCUACGAAAGAGCACUCUAAAGAGACUGCCGGUGACAAACCGGAGGAAGGUGGGGAUGACGUCAAGUCCUCAUGGCCCUUAUGGGUAGGGCUUCACACGUCAUACAAUGGUGCGUACAGAGGGUUGCCAACCCGCGAGGGGGAGCUAAUCUCUUAAAACGCAUCGUAGUCCGGAUCGUAGUCUGCAACUCGACUACGUGAAGCUGGAAUCGCUAGUAAUCGCGGAUCAGCAUGUCGCGGUGAAUACGUUCCCGGGUCUUGUACACACCGCCCGUCACACCAUGGGAGUGGGUUUUGCCAGAAGCAGUUAGCCUAACCGCAAGGGG